RNAcentral lists this ribosomal RNA (1008 nucleotides) under Fictibacillus phosphorivorans. Its description in RNAcentral is "bacterial SSU rRNA". It matches the Rfam family "Bacterial small subunit ribosomal RNA", at positions 45 to 1039 of the family's 1533-position model. The record is from RNAcentral. Lineage: Bacteria; Bacillati; Bacillota; Bacilli; Caryophanales; Fictibacillaceae.
UGCCUAUACUGCAAGUCGAGCGAUGAUGAGGAGCUUGCUCCUCUGAUUUAGCGGCGGACGGGUGAGUAACACGUGGGUAAUCUGCCUGUAAGACGGGGAUAACUCCGGGAAACCGGGGCUAAUACCGGAUAAUAAGAGAAGAAGCAUUUCUUCUUUUUGAAAGUCGGUUUCGGCUGACACUUACAGAUGAGCCCGCGGCGCAUUAGCUAGUUGGUGAGGUAACGGCUCACCAAGGCGACGAUGCGUAGCCGACCUGAGAGGGUGAUCGGCCACACUGGGACUGAGACACGGCCCAGACUCCUACGGGAGGCAGCAGUAGGGAAUCUUCGGCAAUGGGCGAAAGCCUGACCGAGCAACGCCGCGUGAGCGAUGAAGGCCUUCGGGUCGUAAAGCUCUGUUGUUAGAGAAGAACAAGUACGAGAGUAACUGCUCGUACCUUGACGGUACCUAACCAGAAAGCCACGGCUAACUACGUGCCAGCAGCCGCGGUAAUACGUAGGUGGCAAGCGUUAUCCGGAAUUAUUGGGCGUAAAGCGCGCGCAGGCGGUCUCUUAAGUCUGAUGUGAAAGCCCACGGCUCAACCGUGGAGGGUCAUUGGAAACUGGGAGACUUGAGUGCAGGAGAGAAAAGUGGAAUUCCACGUGUAGCGGUGAAAUGCGUAGAGAUGUGGAGGAACACCAGUGGCGAAGGCGGCUUUUUGGCCUGUAACUGACGCUGAGGCGCGAAAGCGUGGGGAGCAAACAGGAUUAGAUACCCUGGUAGUCCACGCCGUAAACGAUGAGUGCUAGGUGUUGGGGGGUUCCACCCUCAGUGCUGAAGUUAACACAUUAAGCACUCCGCCUGGGGAGUACGACCGCAAGGUUGAAACUCAAAGGAAUUGACGGGGGCCCGCACAAGCAGUGGAGCAUGUGGUUUAAUUCGAAGCAACGCGAAGAACCUUACCAGUCUUGACAUCCUUUGACCACUCUAGAGAUAGAGCUUUCCCCUUCGGGGGACAAAGUGACAGUG